This 468-nucleotide ribosomal RNA is filed under the name uncultured bacterium. RNAcentral's name for it is "partial 16S ribosomal RNA". It matches the Rfam family "Bacterial small subunit ribosomal RNA", at positions 28 to 507 of the family's 1533-position model. The record is from RNAcentral.
GACGAACGCUGGCGGCGUGCUUAACACAUGCAAGUCGAACGGAAAGGCCCUGCUUUUGUGGGGUGCUCGAGUGGCGAACGGGUGAGUAACACGUGAGUAACCUGCCCUUGACUUUGGGAUAACUUCAGGAAACUGGGGCUAAUACCGGAUAGGAGCUCCUGCUGCAUGGUGGGGGUUGGAAAGUUUCGGCGGUUGGGGAUGGACUCGCGGCUUAUCAGCUUGUUGGUGGGGUAGUGGCUUACCAAGGCUUUGACGGGUAGCCGGCCUGAGAGGGUGACCGGCCACAUUGGGACUGAGAGACGGCCCAGACUCCUACGGGAGGCAGCGGGGGGGAUUAUUGCACAAUGGGCGGAAGCCUGAUGCAGCACCGCCGCGUGCGGGAUGACGGCCUUCGGGUUGUAAACCGCUUUCGCCUGUGACGAAGCGUGAGUGACGGUAAUGGGUAAAGAAGCACCGGCUAACUACGUG